Molecule: ribosomal RNA, 460 nt
Filed under: uncultured bacterium
Lineage: Bacteria
Description: partial 16S ribosomal RNA
Rfam family: Bacterial small subunit ribosomal RNA
Source: RNAcentral
CCUACGGGAGGCAGCAGUGAGGAAUAUUGGUCAAUGGACGAGAGUCUGAACCAGCCAAGUAGCGUGAAGGAUGACUGCCCUAUGGGUUGUAAACUUCUUUUAUAUGGGAGUAAAAUGUUCCACGUGUGGGCUUUUGUAUGUUCCAUAUGAAUAAGGAUCGGCUAACUCCGUGCCAGCAGCCGCGGUAAUACGGAGGAUCCGAGCGUUAUCCGGGUUUAUUGGGUUUAAAGGGAGCGUAGGUGGAUUGUUAAGUCAGUUGUGAAAGUUUGCGGCUCAACCGUAAAAUUGCAGUUGAAACUGGCAGUCUUGAGUACAGUAGAGGUGGGCGGAAUGCGUGGUGUAGCGGUGAAAUGCUUAGAUAUCACGAAGAACUCCGAUUGCGAAGGCAGCUCACUGGACUGCAACUGACACUGAGGCUCGAAAGUGUGGGUAUCAAACAGGAUUAGAUACCCCAGUAGUC